GCCAUUUCUUUCUUCAGUAUGGAUUCUAUAUUAGCAAGCUUUUGUUUGUAAUCUGCUCCCAUCUUUUCUUUGUCCUCAUUCAUUUCUUCAGUCAAUGUCUGUAUUUCAGUCUGUCUUUGAGUCAGUAUAUUUUCCAGGUAAUUUAGUAGCCCAGCUCAAAAUCUAGGGGCCAUGUGCGACUGGGCCUUUUGCUAGAUUUUAUCCCUGUUUUCCAUUCUACUAAUAAUGAUUCCAAUAUCAGCUCUUGAAGGUGUGAUAGACAUGUUUGUUUGGACAGAACAUUCCAUUCUUGAAAUGCUUGAACUUUUUUGCUGCUGUUGGUGGUGUUGCUAUGGAAAGAAUCAAUAAAUGUCCAGUGCUCCUGUGCUCCUGUAAUGAAAUAAACAAAUAUUUCACUGAAAUAAUAAAAGUACU
This 414-nucleotide long non-coding RNA is filed under the name Mytilus galloprovincialis (Mediterranean mussel). Lineage: Eukaryota; Metazoa; Mollusca; Bivalvia; Mytilida; Mytilidae. The record is from RNAcentral.